This 429-nucleotide ribosomal RNA is filed under the name Bacillota bacterium. RNAcentral describes it as "Firmicutes bacterium partial 16S ribosomal RNA". It matches the Rfam family "Bacterial small subunit ribosomal RNA", at positions 355 to 776 of the family's 1533-position model. Lineage: Bacteria; Bacillati; Bacillota. The record is from RNAcentral.
UAGGGAAUCUUCGGCAAUGGACGGAAGUCUGACCGAGCAACGCCGCGUGAGUGUAGAAGGUUUUCGGAUCGUAAAGCUCUGUUGUUAGAGAAGAACGUUGGUAGGAGUGGAAAAUCUACCAAGUGACGGUAACUAACCAGAAAGGGACGGCUAACUACGUGCCAGCAGCCGCGGUAAUACGUAGGUCCCGAGCGUUGUCCGGAUUUAUUGGGCGUAAAGCGAGCGCAGGUAGUUCUUUAAGUCUGAAGUUAAAGGCAGUGGCUUAACCAUUGUACGCUUUGGAAACUGGAGGACUUGAGUGCAGAAGGGGAGGGUAGAAUUCCAUGUGUAGCGGUGAAAUGCGUAGAUAUAUGAAGGAACACCGGUGGCGAAAGCGGCUCUCUGGUCUGUAACUGACGAUGAGGCUCGAAAGCGUGGGGAGCAAACAGG